This 1420-nucleotide ribosomal RNA is filed under the name uncultured bacterium. RNAcentral's name for it is "16S ribosomal RNA". It matches the Rfam family "Bacterial small subunit ribosomal RNA". The record is from RNAcentral.
GAUGAACGCUAGCUACGGGCUUAACACAUGCAAGUCGAGGGGCAGCAUGGUCUUAGCUUGCUAAGGCCGAUGGCGACCGGCGCACGGGUGAGUAACACGUAUCCAACCUGCCGUCUACUCUUGGACAGCCUUCUGAAAGGAAGAUUAAUACAAGAUGGCAUCAUGAGUCCACAUGUUCACAUGAUUAAAGGUAUUCCGGUAGACGAUGGGGAUGCGUUCCAUUAGAUAGUAGGCGGGGUAACGGCCCACCUAGUCUUCGAUGGAUAGGGGUUCUGAGAGGAAGGUCCCCCACAUUGGAACUGAGACACGGUCCAAACUCCUACGGGAGGCAGCAGUGAGGAAUAUUGGUCAAUGGGCGAGAGCCUGAACCAGCCAAGUAGCGUGAAGGAUGACUGCCCUAUGGGUUGUAAACUUCUUUUAUAAAGGAAUAAAGUCGGGUAUGGAUACCCGUUUGCAUGUACUUUAUGAAUAAGGAUCGGCUAACUCCGUGCCAGCAGCCGCGGUAAUACGGAGGAUCCGAGCGUUAUCCGGAUUUAUUGGGUUUAAAGGGAGCGUAGAUGGAUGUUUAAGUCAGUUGUGAAAGUUUGCGGCUCAACCGUAAAAUUGCAGUUGAUACUGGAUAUCUUGAGUGCAGUUGAGGCAGGCGGAAUUCGUGGUGUAGCGGUGAAAUGCUUAGAUAUCACGAAGAACUCCGAUUGCGAAGGCAGCCUGCUAAGCUGCAACUGACAUUGAGGCUCGAAAGUGUGGGUAUCAAACAGGAUUAGAUACCCUGGUAGUCCACACGGUAAACGAUGAAUACUCGCUGUUUGCGAUAUACAGCAAGCGGCCAAGCGAAAGCGUUAAGUAUUCCACCUGGGGAGUACGCCGGCAACGGUGAAACUCAAAGGAAUUGACGGGGGCCCGCACAAGCGGAGGAACAUGUGGUUUAAUUCGAUGAUACGCGAGGAACCUUACCCGGGCUUAAAUUGCAGAUGAAUUACGGUGAAAGCCGUAAGCCGCAAGGCAUCUGUGAAGGUGCUGCAUGGUUGUCGUCAGCUCGUGCCGUGAGGUGUCGGCUUAAGUGCCAUAACGAGCGCAACCCUUGUUGUCAGUUACUAACAGGUUCCGCUGAGGACUCUGACAAGACUGCCAUCGUAAGAUGUGAGGAAGGUGGGGAUGACGUCAAAUCAGCACGGCCCUUACGUCCGGGGCUACACACGUGUUACAAUGGGGGGUACAGAGGGCCGCUACCACGCGAGUGGAUGCCAAUCCCAAAAACCUCUCUCAGUUCGGACUGGAGUCUGCAACCCGACUCCACGAAGCUGGAUUCGCUAGUAAUCGCGCAUCAGCCACGGCGCGGUGAAUACGUUCCCGGGCCUUGUACACACCGCCCGUCAAGCCAUGGGAGCCGGGGGUACCUGAAGUGCGUAACCGCGAGGAG